ACAUAUAUUAUAUGUAGAAAUAAAAGUAAAAUAAAAAAUAAAAAUAAAAAAAAAAUAAAAUAAGAAGCCCAAAAUUGAGAGCAAUGGCAGGUUCUUCGAAGUCUCUUACCAUCCUCUUCCUCUUCUUGGUGCUCCUUUCUUCUACUGAAAUGGGUCCAACAAUGACGGCUGCGCAUGACACCAGCCAACAGUGGUGCUUUGGGCAGGUGGGAGGGUGUUGGUCUAAAAAGUUAUGCGAUGAAUCUUGCAAAUCUCAGGGCUAUGGUGGUGGCAAAUGUAGCUUAUUAAGAACUUGUUGUUGUGAGUGAAGGGAGAAUUUUUAAUUAUUAUUAUUAUUAUUAUUAUUUUAUUUUAUUUAUUCUUUUUUGUAAAUAAGAAGUUACAACUUCGAUUUUCAAUGGAUUAAGUGUUAUUCCACACUAUAAACUAUGACGGAUUUUUUAUGUUGCA
Molecule: long non-coding RNA, 450 nt
Organism: Ipomoea nil (Japanese morning glory)
Lineage: Eukaryota; Viridiplantae; Streptophyta; Magnoliopsida; Solanales; Convolvulaceae
Exons: 2
Source: RefSeq, a predicted model, not a curated record